GCGGAUGUGGCGGAAUUGGUAGACGCGCACGGUUCAGGUCCGUGUGGGCUUCGGCCCGUGGAGGUUCAAGUCCUCUCAUCCGCA
RNAcentral lists this transfer RNA (84 nucleotides) under Gaiellaceae bacterium. RNAcentral describes it as "tRNA-Leu". It matches the Rfam family "tRNA". Rfam says of the family: Transfer RNA (tRNA) molecules are approximately 80 nucleotides in length. Their secondary structure includes four short double-helical elements and three loops (D, anti-codon, and T loops). Further hydrogen bonds mediate the characteristic L-shaped molecular structure. tRNAs have two regions of fundamental functional importance: the anti-codon, which is responsible for specific mRNA codon recognition, and the 3' end, to which the tRNAs corresponding amino acid is attached (by aminoacyl-tRNA synthetases). tRNAs cope with the degeneracy of the genetic code in two manners: having more than one tRNA (with a specific anti-codon) for a particular amino acid; and 'wobble' base-pairing, i.e. permitting non-standard base-pairing at the 3rd anti-codon position. Lineage: Bacteria; Bacillati; Actinomycetota; Thermoleophilia; Gaiellales; Gaiellaceae. The record is from RNAcentral. RNAcentral also lists the same sequence under 2 other names.